GUAGGGAGCAAGCGUUGUUCGGAAUUAUUGGGGCGUAAAGAGCGCGUAGGCGGCCAGGUAAGUCUGAUGUGAAAUCCCACAGCUCAACUGUGGAACUGCAUUGGAAACUGCUUGGCUAGAGUGCGGGAGAGGAGAGUGGAAUUCCCAGUGUAGAGGUGAAAUUCGUAGAUAUUGGGAGGAACACCAGUGGCGAAGGCGGCUCUCUGGACCGCAACUGACGCUGAGGCGCGAAAGCUAGGGGAGCGAACGGGAUUAGAUACCCCGGUAGUCCUAGCCGUAAACGAUGGGCACUAGGUGUGGGAGGUAUCAACCCCUUCUGUGCCGCAGCUAACGCAUUAAGUGCCCCGCCUGGGGAGUACGGUCGCAAGACUA
RNAcentral lists this ribosomal RNA (372 nucleotides) under uncultured organism. RNAcentral's name for it is "partial 16S ribosomal RNA". It matches the Rfam family "Bacterial small subunit ribosomal RNA", at positions 527 to 896 of the family's 1533-position model. The record is from RNAcentral.